UGGGGUUGUGGUUCAGUGGUAGAGUGCUUGCCUGGCAUGUGUGAGGUUCUGCGUUCGAUCCUCAGCACCACAA
Molecule: transfer RNA, 73 nt
Filed under: Marmota monax (woodchuck)
Lineage: Eukaryota; Metazoa; Chordata; Mammalia; Rodentia; Sciuridae
Description: tRNA.Ala
Source: RNAcentral